Schistosoma rodhaini is the source of this 45-nucleotide non-coding RNA. Lineage: Eukaryota; Metazoa; Platyhelminthes; Trematoda; Strigeidida; Schistosomatidae. The record is from Rfam.
AUCCAGCUGACGAGUCCCAAAUAGGACGAAGUGUAUGUCCUUGAU